Molecule: long non-coding RNA, 217 nt
Filed under: Vigna radiata
Lineage: Eukaryota; Viridiplantae; Streptophyta; Magnoliopsida; Fabales; Fabaceae
Description: long non-coding RNA (VRAD_LNC005268)
Source: RNAcentral
GGGUGUUUUCUAAACCUUAAACUUGUUUUUUCUUUGUGAUUGGAACAGUUUAUUAGUUUUGUGUUAGUGAAAAGUUAAUUUCUAUUGGGAUUAACAACUGGACAUAGGAUCUUGUGAUCUAAACUAAUAUUGAAAUUAUCUGUGGAAUUUUCUCUCUUCCUUACCCUCUUUAUUUUUUUAAUUAGUUGUUAAAAAAAUUAAAAAUAAAGAAAAUUAU